GACGAACGCUGGCGGCGUGCUUAACACAUGCAAGUCGAACGGAAAGGCCCUGCUUUUGUGGGGUGCUCGAGUGGCGAACGGGUGAGUAACACGUGAGUAACCUGCCCUUGACUUUGGGAUAACUUCAGGAAACUGGGGCUCAUACCGGAUAGGAGCUCCUGCUGCAUGGUGGUGGUUGGAAAGUUUCGGCGGUUGGGGAUGGACUCGCGGCUUAUCAGCUUGUUGGUGGGGUAGUGGCUUACCAAGGCUUUGACGGGUAGCCGGCCUGAGAGGGUGACCGGCCACAUUGGGACUGGGAUACGGCCCAGACUCCUACGGGAGGCAGCAGUGGGGAAUAUUGCACAAUGGGCGGAAGCCUGAUGCAGCAACGCCGCGUGCGGGAUGACGGCCUUCGGGUUGUAAACCGCUUUCGCAUGUGACGAAGAGUGAGUGACGGUAAUGGGUAAAGAAGCACCGGCUAACUACGUG
RNAcentral lists this ribosomal RNA (468 nucleotides) under uncultured bacterium. RNAcentral describes it as "partial 16S ribosomal RNA". It matches the Rfam family "Bacterial small subunit ribosomal RNA", at positions 28 to 507 of the family's 1533-position model. The record is from RNAcentral.